GAAAUGCGAUACGUAGUGUGAAUUGCAGAAUUCAGUGAAUCAUCGAAUCUUUGAACGCACAUUGCGCUCCCUGGCAUUCCGGGGAGCAUGCCCGUUUCAGAAUCAUCAGAACCUCACCACCCUGCGGGGGCUUUCAAUGGCCCCGGUCGGCUGGUGGAGCCGGGGGCGAUGGUGCAACCCACAACCGCAUCAUGCACCUCAGAUAUCAACCUUUGCCUGGCCAAAUCACUUUCUGCCUUUGGGACUCUGGCAUGGUGCGACAGAUUAACCUCCGCCACCUGCCUUCCCGCUGGCACGCUUUUGGUCCUGGCAAAAGCAAACCCACAAACGACUGCCGGUGGGGCAGAUCCGUCUGCCGGAGCCUCCAGUCACAAAACCUGGUCUGAAAUCGGGCAAGAGA
RNAcentral lists this unclassified non-coding RNA (400 nucleotides) under uncultured fungus. Its description in RNAcentral is "sequence contains ITS1". The stretch from base 1 to 105 matches the Rfam family "5.8S ribosomal RNA", at positions 50 to 154 of the family's 154-position model. The record is from RNAcentral. Lineage: Eukaryota; Fungi.